GCAGGGAAGCCAGACCGGUUUGCAGCGGCGGCGGCGGCGGCGGCGGGGUCCGCCGCAGUCGGUGCCUCGGGGAGCCGGGGCUCGGGCGGGUUCUCCACGGUUCCAGGGCUGGCCGGGGCCUCGCGGCGCUUCCAAAGUCCUGCAGCCCCGCUGCGCAGAGCGGUGCUUGGGGUAGGGCAUCCUCCCUCCCCCGGGCCCCUGGACUCUGCAGCGCCUGGUCGCCUGCCCGCUGGACUCUGCUUGCCGCGAAGCCCGCAUUUAAGGACAGGGGGGCCCCGCCACUAGGAAGGGACAGCUAAGCUGCCCAGGCGACGCUGUGCCCCCCUGUGAUGACAGCGGGAGUUCCCAGGAAUGACAUCUCAAGGGAAAAUGAUCCAGAAAGGAGUUGCCAAAGGGAAUCUGUGAAGUACCAGUCAGCCAUGGCUAUGUCUAGCAGUUCAUCCACCAUUAACUCCUCAACUUGAAAAAUCCUUCAGGAAUCCACGUGAAAGGAUGCAUACUCUCCUUUUUGUCAUUCCCCUCUUUCUGCUGGCUGGAAAAAGACAUUAAGAGGAGCAGCCAUCUUGGGACCCAAAGAAGGAAGCCACAUGCUAUUGGUAGCAGUGUGCUGAUCCCUGACAGAGAGGAAAGGGAUCAUGCCCAAUCUAGCAUCCAGCACAGUGGAAACACCCAGGAAAUUCUUACAGAAGGAAGGAUGGAAGGAGGCACAAAGGAGCUACAGUGAAUUGCCCUCAAAUCACAUUUUGCAUAAUGAGAUGUGAGGAAGAAUGGGAUUCAAAUCAGAAUAUACUCAGGAUUGGCAAUCUCAGAAUGUGACUCCUCCUUCAUGGCCCAAGAACUGCUGCUAGAGCCCCAGCUAUCACCUCUGCAUUCCAGGCACUAGGAAGAAGAAAUGGAUAAAGAAGGCAAAGUCUCUUUUAUAGAUACUUUCAAGAAGUUGCACGUGAUGUUUCUUAUUUCAUCUGUAUCAGAGUUCAGGUAGAAAGAUGAAUUGUUACAAGUGUUAUGGGAUAAAGGAUCUAUUAUGGAUAAAUAGACUUUACACUGUAUGGGAAGAGUUGUAGAGAGUUGGAGGGUCAGAGAAGCUGUCACCAACUGGUCAUUUUGAAAAGCCAAGCAUAUCAAGCUACUGGAAGGGGGCUGAGAAUGGGGAGUUCAUGUAAAGGUCUGUAGGAAGCUGCUACCCCCUCUGGAGGAUCCUAAUUAAGCACCUGGAGGGGAACCAGUGGCUCUUGUUGGUCAGUAGGGCCAGAAGUUCAGAAGAGGAGCUGGACAUACAAUGGAAGAGAGUGAGUUACAGCUGGAAACUGUUGGACACCUCUGCAUCCAUCUGUCACCAUAUUGGAAAACAAAGAACAAAAUGACGAUUACAGACCAAUGACCACUGCCUUACUUCUGCCUCCUAAAUUUCAUUCAAGAUCCUUUUUUGGCCAACUACAACCUGGAACCACACACAAAAUGUAAUUCUGGGAACCAGCUCCUAGUUUAACCAAGGUGGUGCAGUACAAACCACCACGAUUCCCUCUACAUCACCCUGGCAUGCAUAUACAAGUCUCUGUCUCUCUCUUCUUAAACCACAUUUAAUUUUUAAGUAGAGACGAUGGUGCAAUCAUGCUUCCAUAUAACCCGAUGCAGCUAUCCCUCAUACAGCUGGAAAAUGUAAACCCUUCCCCCAAAAGAGGAUACACAGAAGUUCAUGUGUCACUUGUGUCCAUCACUUGGAUAAUAGUCCAACCUCUGCUCACUCAGUUACACUUUGCCUUAAGCCCUUAACUUCAACACUGAGAUAUAAAGUUAAAUGCUAUUAACACAUCCUAUGUUAAAAGUAGGAGAAUUAGAAAAGAUUACAGUAUGUAAUGUUUAUUAUGAACACGUUCAUAUUAAAGCAAGGAGCACUCAUAAAGACCCACAGUCCUCGUUUCUACAACUGGUCACAUAGUCAUAGCUGGUACUUAAUACUUUUCUCUUUCAUGACAUAGUCUAUAUUUUCUCUUCCCUCAGCAAGCAGUGCAGCUGGUCAUAAUCUUGCAUGAUACAGUGAAUCAAGCCUUCAUUCCAGAAGGGUCUGGGCCAUGAGCAAUCCUAGUUGUAUUGGAUUUUGUAGUUUUCCAUUAACAUUUAUCAUAGGAGAUAGGAUGGCUACCAGGUAGCCUAAAAGAUCUCCUAUGUUUCAGACAUACUCUUUCCCUGACCCCACCUUGAUAGUCUCCUUGAUGGUCAUGAUCAAUCAAUCACCCAAGCCAGUAAAUACUGAGACUUUUUUUUUUUUUUUUUUUUUUUGUUAAUUUGUUCUUUGGCAUGAGUUGCCUAAAAUGAUCAGUAGAGCAUGUCAGUUUCCGGUUAAAAACCCACUGCUGUGUUUCCUGAUGGAAACAUUAUUGCCUUGGGAUUUUUUUUUUCUAAACCAAGAGAUCCCAAAGUUUUGGUGACAAAAUCAAACAUUUUACUAAUGGAUUAUUAGGGAUAGAAGAGAAAGGACCCACUCCCAUUUCUAUCCCUUAGACUUGCCUAUAAGAGAAACAUUGCCAUAUACUGGUUGGUAAUUUAGAGCAUAUAUUGCAUUCUGGUGGAUGUUACCCUGACUUUGAAAAGUGUCACCACAUAGCUGACACCAUAACUGAAUCUUUUUUUUCAAUCUGAGAUAUAGUUGACAAUUAAAAAUUAUAUAUAUUUAAGGUAUACAACUUGAUGAUUUAAUAUAUGUAUACUUUGUAAAAUAUUUAUUACAAUCAAGCUAAUUAACAUAUGUAUCAGGGAUCCCUUGAUGACUCAGCUGUUUAGUGCCUGCCUUCGGCCCAGGGCGUGAUCCUAGAGUCUCGGGAUCAAGUCUCACAUCAGGCUCCCUGCAUGGAGCCUGCUUCUCCCUCUGCCUGUGUCUUUGUCUCUCUCUCUCUCUGUCUCUCAUGAAUAAAUAAAUAAAAUCUUUAAAAAAUAUGUAUCACCUCACAGGGUUAUAAUUAUUAAGUGCACGGUGAGAACAGUUGAGAUCUACCCUCUUAGCAAAUUUCAAUUAUAUGAUGCAAUACUGUUAAUUAUAUAGCCACAUUGUUGUGCAUUAGAUCUCCAGAAUUUGUCUGACAUAACUGAAACUUUGUACUCCUGAGCCAACAUCUCCCCAUAAUCUCCUUCCCUUGGCCUCUGGUAACCACCAUCUUCUGUUUCUGAGUCUGACAUUUUUCAGUUCUGCAUAUAAGCAAG
Canis lupus familiaris (dog) is the source of this 3198-nucleotide long non-coding RNA. RefSeq lists it as uncharacterized. Lineage: Eukaryota; Metazoa; Chordata; Mammalia; Carnivora; Canidae. The record is from RefSeq and is a predicted model, not a curated record. The transcript has 5 exons.